GAUAGAGCGAGAAAGGGGGGAAAAUGGCGUCUUGGAAAGCCGGAAUCCCGGAGUAAAUCAAAUUAACACGCAACACCCAGAGCAGUCCCGGCUAAUUUUAGCAGGAUCCAAAAUAAAAUGAAAAGGAAAAAAGGGGGGAGAAGCAGUAGAUCUACAACACAGUCCCAGUCUAACACCAAAUAAGUAGAAAAGAUUUGUGGGUCCAUGAGAUGCACAAGCCCUCACCAGCCCUCAGCAGACUCAGCUCCCUUGCAUUUUCUGGCUCUCCCAGGGUGACAUCCAGCCUCAGCAUCGGGUGACACAAUGCUGCGCUGAUUCAGAGGGAGCAUCCCGAAUGACCUGGCUCUCCAUCCCAAAGGAAAACCAGGCAAGGAAUUCCACGUCUCAAAAACCAGCAGCUGACUGAUUCCCUGUGUUCCAGGGAAAGGGCAGCACAGG
Long non-coding RNA from Prinia subflava (tawny-flanked prinia), 438 nucleotides. RefSeq lists it as uncharacterized. The transcript is spliced from 3 exons. The record is from RefSeq and is a predicted model, not a curated record. NCBI's taxonomy places the organism in Eukaryota, Metazoa, Chordata, Aves, Passeriformes, Cisticolidae.